RNAcentral lists this ribosomal RNA (253 nucleotides) under uncultured bacterium. RNAcentral's name for it is "partial 16S ribosomal RNA". It matches the Rfam family "Bacterial small subunit ribosomal RNA", at positions 524 to 776 of the family's 1533-position model. The record is from RNAcentral.
UACGGAGGGUGCAAGCGUUAUCCGGAUUCACUGGGUUUAAAGGGCGUGUAGGUGGUUCUGUAUGUCUACCGUGAAAGCGUACGGCUCAACCGUAUUUAGUCGGUAGAAACUGCAGGACUUGAGGCUGGGAGGGGCUGGUGGAAUUCCCCGUGUAGCGGUGAAAUGCGUAGAGAUGGGGGAGAACACGCGUGGCGAAGGCGGCCAGCUAGACCAGUUCUGACACUGAGGCGCGAUAGCGUGGGGAGCAAACAGG